RNAcentral lists this long non-coding RNA (723 nucleotides) under Mustela putorius furo (domestic ferret). Its description in RNAcentral is "lncRNA (ENSMPUG00000029285.1)". The record is from RNAcentral. Lineage: Eukaryota; Metazoa; Chordata; Mammalia; Carnivora; Mustelidae.
CGGACAUCGCUCAUGGCCCUCUGCUUCAUUACCCGCUUUUGCCCCACUCCCUCUCUCACCUUGAAGGCUCACACCCCAAGGUCAUCUGCACAGGCUUGUAUCCAUGUGACCUGCUUGUGAUGCCUCCACUGACCCAGGUGCAGUGUCAGGGUCACACACGGGAUUUAGCUCCUCACCCCACCUGCACAGCGUCGAGGAGGCUGUGCCGACCUCGCCCCAGAACAGGCAAACAGCUGCUCUGUUACUCGAUGUGAAUUUGUUUCCCUGGGGAAAACCCAGAUUCUGCUCCCCCAAGGUGUGCACAAAGGUCUGGGCUAUUUGGUUCGUGCCGACAGGCCCAGGGUCCCACUCUGUCCCCUUGCUGGUCUCUGGCAGACCGUGAGAGAAAGGCUGAACAGAUUUCUUUCCCCCCAGUACCUCCGCACCCUGCCGCCCGGGGGCCGGUGCUUCGGAGAAGGGCCCUUUGCCUCCACGACUCCCAGGUAUCUCAUCCAAACCGGCAUUGCCAAGAUCCCCAGGCCCCCGAAGAGGUCUGACUGGCCAGAAGUCCUGGGGGAGAUGGUCCUGCUGCUGGGGUUCUGCCUGCUUCUGUUGAUUCAGUGUCACAGCCUGAGCUGGGCCCGGAAGGCCACUCCCAACCCCACCUUCCGGAAGCAUCAGCAAGGAUACAACCUGGAUGCCUACACCUCCCCAAGGCCUGGGAUGACGUCAGUGAGGAGAGGU